RNAcentral lists this non-coding RNA (26 nucleotides) under Drosophila melanogaster (fruit fly). The record is from RNAcentral. Lineage: Eukaryota; Metazoa; Arthropoda; Insecta; Diptera; Drosophilidae.
CUUCCACGAUUAUAACCCCGGGCGCC